Molecule: ribosomal RNA, 466 nt
Filed under: uncultured bacterium
Lineage: Bacteria
Description: bacterial SSU rRNA
Rfam family: Bacterial small subunit ribosomal RNA
Source: RNAcentral
ACGAACGCUGGCGGCGUGCUUAAAACAUGCAAGUCGAACGGAGACCAUGGAGUCGCAAGACUCCGGAAGUCUGAGUGGCGAACGGGUGCGUAACACGUGAGGAACCUGCCCCAGAGACCGGGAUAACCUCUCGAAAGAGGAGCUAUACCGGAUGUGCUCAUCGGAUCACCUGGUCUGGUGAGGAAAUGGAUUCCGCUCUGGGAUGGCCUCGCGGCCUAUCAGCUUGUUGGUGGGGUAACGGCCUACCAAGGCGACGACGGGUAGCUGGUCUGAGAGGACGAUCAGCCACACUGGGACUGAGACACGGCCCAGACUCCUACGGGAGGCAGCAGUUAGGAAUCUUGCGCAAUGGGCGAAAGCCUGACGCAGCAACGCCGCGUGGGGGAUGAAUGCUCUCGGGUUGUAAACCCCUUUCAGCGGGGACGAUUAUGACGGUACCCGCAGAAGAAGGACCGGCCAACUACGU